This 1062-nucleotide long non-coding RNA is filed under the name Salmo salar (Atlantic salmon). RNAcentral describes it as "lncRNA (ENSSSAG00000105801.1)". Lineage: Eukaryota; Metazoa; Chordata; Actinopteri; Salmoniformes; Salmonidae. The record is from RNAcentral.
UACAUAGUUAUGUUUCAGUGAUAUAUUGGGGGGGACAAAUCAUAUGUUUCCCAGGAUGGGGGGGGUCGUGUCCCCCCCGUUCCCCCCGGGAUUUCCGCCCCUGCAUGCAUGUAUUCAAAAAUAGUAGCUAGCUAAUGUUAGCUAGCCCAUCUGUAGCCCCCAACUACCUAGCUAACUAGCUAGUUCGCUAGCUAAGUUCCAGUUAUUGUUCAGUUAUUUUUCAGCUAUGUUGUUUGAACACCGAAUGACAACAAGCUGCCUGACAUUGGGUGCGGUAGCUAGCUAGCUAGAUAUCCAUGCCUUGCCGUUGCAUUGGCUAUCUUGCCAGCAUAGAUGGAUGCAUGCAGAUGUCAGUCAUGUAACGUUAGCAAGAAAAGACAACCCUUGUUUUCAAUUAAUAAGAUGGCUUGGUAGCUACCUCAGCACAGAAAUAUUUCCUUACCCGAUGCCGAUGAUGGUUCCAUAGUCUGCCAUACGCAGCAGCUGUCCACUCCACUCCGGAGGUAUGUGAGGAGGGGGAGCAGAGGUUGGCGCUCUACAGUUACAGGCAGUUACACACAGACCGCACAUAGAGGAACUUGGUGCAACACGACACAAAUAAAAGCAGAUCUCCUUAGGCAACUGUGGGAAGGGAAGGUCUGAGUCGAACCCAGAGCACGCGGGCUCGUACCAUAACGUGAUUAGGAUGAGGGCUGUCAACUUGGCUGGAGGCAUGUUGAGUGUCAGAACAAAACCAUGCUUUGCUGCAGCUCCCGCUGUGAAAGAGACAGAUUUAUUCCUCUCUACAACAGGCUUCAUUCAGUAGGCCAAUGCGUCCCCAGCCACCUUCCACAGUAAUCACUCAGGGAAUUCUCUGUUUAGAUGUUACACUCUUUUCUGCUGUCCUUGUAUUAAUCCCAUUUUCUUCAUUCCUGUUGUCUGUUUUAUACAUCUCAAGCCUGUUUCUGUCAUGGCAAGCAUUGUUCUGUCAUGGGUGUCCUCAUCUUCUGUACAAAUAGCAUAAUACUAUUUUAGAAUGUUUGGUCAGUCUUUUUUGUAGAUAUCCUCAAAAAACUAUUAUUC